GGUCGUUAAUACCAUGGCCAAGUUGGUUAAGGCGUGCGACUGUUAAUCGCAAGAUCGUGAGUUCAACCCUCACUGGGGUCG
This 81-nucleotide transfer RNA is filed under the name Saccharomyces cerevisiae UFMG A-905. RNAcentral describes it as "tRNA-Asn (GTT) (tRNA-Asn-GTT-3-1)". It matches the Rfam family "tRNA". Rfam says of the family: Transfer RNA (tRNA) molecules are approximately 80 nucleotides in length. Their secondary structure includes four short double-helical elements and three loops (D, anti-codon, and T loops). Lineage: Eukaryota; Fungi; Ascomycota; Saccharomycetes; Saccharomycetales; Saccharomycetaceae. The record is from RNAcentral.